UUAAGGGCGCACGGUGGAUGCCUUGGCACUAGAAGCCGAUGAAGGACGUUACUAACGACGAUAUGCUUUGGGGAGCUGUAAGUAAGCUUUGAUCCAGAGAUUUCCGAAUGGGGAAACCCAGCAUGAGUUAUGUCAUGUUAUCGAUAUGUGAAUACAUAGCAUAUCAGAAGGCACACCCGGAGAACUGAAACAUCUUAGUACCCGGAGGAAGAGAAAGAAAAUUCGAUUCCCUUAGUAGCGGCGAGCGAAACGGGAAGAGCCCAAACCAACAAGCUUGCUUGUUGGGGUUGUAGGACACUCUAUACGGAGUUACAAAGGACGACAUUAGACGAAUCAUCUGGAAAGAUGAAUCAAAGAAGGUAAUAAUCCUGUAGUCGAAAACGUUGUCUCUCUUGAGUGGAUCCUGAGUACGACGGAGCACGUGAAAUUCCGUCGGAAUCUGGGAGGACCAUCUCCUAAGGCUAAAUACUCUCUAGUGACCGAUAGUGAACCAGUACCGUGAGGGAAAGGUGAAAAGCACCCCGGAAGGGGAGUGAAAUAGAACCUGAAACCGUGUGCUUACAAGUAGUCAGAGCCCGUUAAUGGGUGAUGGCGUGCCUUUUGUAGAAUGAACCGGCGAGUUACGAUUUGAUGCAAGGUUAAGCAGUAAAUGUGGAGCCGUAGCGAAAGCGAGUCUGAAUAGGGCGUUUAGUAUUUGGUCGUAGACCCGAAACCAGGUGAUCUACCCUUGGUCAGGUUGAAGUUCAGGUAACACUGAAUGGAGGACCGAACCGACUUACGUUGAAAAGUGAGCGGAUGAACUGAGGGUAGCGGAGAAAUUCCAAUCGAACCUGGAGAUAGCUGGUUCUCUCCGAAAUAGCUUUAGGGCUAGCCUCAAGUGAUGAUUAUUGGAGGUAGAGCACUGUUUGGACGAGGGGCCCCUCUCGGGUUACCGAAUUCAGACAAACUCCGAAUGCCAAUUAAUUUAACUUGGGAGUCAGAACAUGGGUGAUAAGGUCCGUGUUCGAAAGGGAAACAGCCCAGACCACCAGCUAAGGUCCCAAAAUAUAUGUUAAGUGGAAAAGGAUGUGGCGUUGCCCAGACAACUAGGAUGUUGGCUUAGAAGCAGCCAUCAUUUAAAGAGUGCGUAAUAGCUCACUAGUCGAGUGACACUGCGCCGAAAAUGUACCGGGGCUAAACAUAUUACCGAAGCUGUGGAUUGUCCUUUGGACAAUGGUAGGAGAGCGUUCUAAGGGCGUUGAAGCAUGAUCGUAAGGACAUGUGGAGCGCUUAGAAGUGAGAAUGCCGGUGUGAGUAGCGAAAGACGGGUGAGAAUCCCGUCCACCGAUUGACUAAGGUUUCCAGAGGAAGGCUCGUCCGCUCUGGGUUAGUCGGGUCCUAAGCUGAGGCCGACAGGCGUAGGCGAUGGAUAACAGGUUGAUAUUCCUGUACCACCUAUAAUCGUUUUAAUCGAUGGGGGGACGCAGUAGGAUAGGCGAAGCGUGCGAUUGGAUUGCACGUCUAAGCAGUAAGGCUGAGUAUUAGGCAAAUCCGGUACUCGUUAAGGCUGAGCUGUGAUGGGGAGAAGACAUUGUGUCUUCGAGUCGUUGAUUUCACACUGCCGAGAAAAGCCUCUAGAUAGAAAAUAGGUGCCCGUACCGCAAACCGACACAGGUAGUCAAGAUGAGAAUUCUAAGGUGAGCGAGCGAACUCUCGUUAAGGAACUCGGCAAAAUGACCCCGUAACUUCGGGAGAAGGGGUGCUCUUUAGGGUUAACGCCCAGAAGAGCCGCAGUGAAUAGGCCCAAGCGACUGUUUAUCAAAAACACAGGUCUCUGCUAAACCGUAAGGUGAUGUAUAGGGGCUGACGCCUGCCCGGUGCUGGAAGGUUAAGAGGAGUGGUUAGCUUCUGCGAAGCUACGAAUCGAAGCCCCAGUAAACGGCGGCCGUAACUAUAACGGUCCUAAGGUAGCGAAAUUCCUUGUCGGGUAAGUUCCGACCCGCACGAAAGGCGUAACGAUUUGGGCACUGUCUCAACGAGAGACUCGGUGAAAUCAUAGUACCUGUGAAGAUGCAGGUUACCCGCGACAGGACGGAAAGACCCCGUGGAGCUUUACUGUAGCCUGAUAUUGAAAUUCGGCACAGCUUGUACAGGAUAGGUAGGAGCCUUUGAAACGUGAGCGCUAGCUUACGUGGAGGCGCUGGUGGGAUACUACCCUAGCUGUGUUGGCUUUCUAACCCGCACCACUUAUCGUGGUGGGAGACAGUGUCAGGCGGGCAGUUUGACUGGGGCGGUCGCCUCCUAAAAGGUAACGGAGGCGCUCAAAGGUUCCCUCAGAAUGGUUGGAAAUCAUUCAUAGAGUGUAAAGGCAUAAGGGAGCUUGACUGCGAGACCUACAAGUCGAGCAGGGUCGAAAGACGGACUUAGUGAUCCGGUGGUUCCGCAUGGAAGGGCCAUCGCUCAACGGAUAAAAGCUACCCCGGGGAUAACAGGCUUAUCUCCCCCAAGAGUUCACAUCGACGGGGAGGUUUGGCACCUCGAUGUCGGCUCAUCGCAUCCUGGGGCUGUAGUCGGUCCCAAGGGUUGGGCUGUUCGCCCAUUAAAGCGGUACGCGAGCUGGGUUCAGAACGUCGUGAGACAGUUCGGUCCCUAUCCGUCGUGGGCGUAGGAAAUUUGAGAGGAGCUGUCCUUAGUACGAGAGGACCGGGAUGGACAUACCUCUGGUGUACCAGUUGUCGUGCCAACGGCAUAGCUGGGUAGCUAUGUGUGGACGGGAUAAGUGCUGAAAGCAUCUAAGCAUGAAGCCCCCCUCAAGAUGAGAUUUCCCAACUUCGGUUAUAAGAUCCCUCAAAGAUGAUGAGGUUAAUAGGUUCGAGGUGGAAGCAUGGUGACAUGUGGAGCUGACGAAUACUAAUCGAUCGAAGACUUAAUC
Molecule: ribosomal RNA, 2911 nt
Filed under: Staphylococcus aureus
Lineage: Bacteria; Bacillati; Bacillota; Bacilli; Caryophanales; Staphylococcaceae
Description: bacterial LSU rRNA
Rfam family: Bacterial large subunit ribosomal RNA
Source: RNAcentral